UGAGAGGUCAAGAUUUUUAAUGAAUUUUCAUUUAUAGUUUGUUUAUUUUUUAAUAAUUCUGAUAUUAUUAAAUUUCUUUAUUUAUAUUUAGGUACCUUAUGACUUUAAAAAAUUACAUGCGAAAUAGAAGUCAUCCCGAGAGUUCAAUAGCAGAAGGUUAUUUAGUAGAAGAAUGCUCGACUUUUUGUUCACGUUAUCUGACAAAUAUUGAGACGAGAUUCGAUAGGCCCCAAAGGAAUUCCGAUAAUGUGCUUGAUGGAGAGGAAGUGAAUGAUUUUGGUGCACAAGGUCGUGCCUUGGGAAAACAAAAGUUCAUUAAUCUAGAUGAGAUGACUUUGGUGCAAGCUCAUCGGUAUGUUUUGUUCAAUUAUCAUGGAGCAGAACCAUUCAUUGAAAAACAUAAGAGAUUUCUUAAGAUGAGGCAGCGCUAUUUAAAACCAAGACAAUUAGAGAAAAUAUCUCAUGAUUUAUUUCACAAAUGGUUUAAUGAAUGUGUAAGUAUUUGACUUUUGUGUAUGUGUUGGUGUAUUAUAGGUUUAUGAAAAAUUACCUUAUUAUAUAAGUUAUAUCUUUAUGAAUAUAGUUGCGAGAUAGUGAGGAUCCAAUUCCUAAUGAGCUGAGGUGGCUAGCACAAGGUCCAAACCCCGUCGCGAAAAGGUUUAAGAAGUUUGUGAUCAAUGGUUUGAAGUUUCAUGUUAGAGAUAUUGAGAGACGGAGAAAGACUCAGAACAGUGGAGUUGUCAUAAAGGCAUUGACAUCUAGUUAUGCAAGAGCCACCGAUCAAAAUCCCGUCACAGGAGAUAUUCAGUACUAUGGUGUGCUGACUGAUGUCAUUGAGUUAAAUUACAAUGUAAAUAGGAAGGUGGUAUUGUUUAAGUGUGAUUGGUUUGAUGUCUUGUCCAAGGGUAGAGGAAUAAAUGAGGAUGAUUUUCGAUUUAAGCUUGUUAAUUCGUCACGAUCAUUGGGAAUAGAUGAACCUUUCAUUUUAGCAUCUUAAGCUGAACAAGUAUUCUAUGUUGAUGAUCCCAUUGACAAUGAGUGGAAAGUGGUUAUUGGUGCAAAACCGCGAGACCUUUAUGAUAUGCCAGAGCAUGAUAUUGAAUCUUAUCAAGUUCAGGAGCCAUUUCAUGCACAACAUGUGGAUAACGACUUGGAUGUACCUGAUGAUAGCACGUUUUGGACAAGAGCUGAUUUGCUUGGAACAACUAUAGAAGAAGAUGAUGAUGUUGAUGAGGACCUUUAUGAAGAUGAGAUUUAGGAGGAUUCCAUAUCUACUACUCAAUGGAUAUGAAACGUCUUUUUUGGAUGUCAAAUGUCUUUUUUUUUUUUUUUUUUUUUUUUUUUUUUUUUUUCAUAUUACAAGCUCAAAUUGACUAUAUAUAUAUAUAUAUAUAUAUAUGCUGCUUUGACAAUAAUAUUGCAGUAUCAUAUUUUGUAGCAUGCACAUGUACGCUUCCCAUGAAAACUGAUUUAUUUUUUUUGUGUGCUUAUAUAUUUUUAAUAUGUUUUGAUCUAUUCUUGGCACAUUAUUGUAUAAGUGCAAUGAAUGAUUUUUACCAAAAUAGAAUGGUUUUAUAUAAUUUCCAUUGGACAACCAAAAAUACCCUAAAGUUUUGAGGUAUUUUUUAUUUCUUUUUAUUGAUUUUUCUUGGAUUUUGCCUUUUUUAAACAAUUUGAUUGCAUUCUCUUAAAUGAAUUCUCACUUUUUUGUUUGCUUUUCCAGGAAGGAUAAAUAAUAAGCUGACAAUGAAACGAACGGUUAGUGAAGUGGAAAAAGUGAGUGAACAAAAUACCGAAGCUUCAACAUCAAAAUCAUCCCAACCACCACCGAAGAAGAGACGGGGCCCGACACGAUGCAAGAAUGUCGUAAACGCGACAACCUUAUUACCAUUAAGGGAAAGUAUGAUGUGGGAAUUAUGUCAAAAUAGUGGACAUUAUCCUCCAUCGGAAAAAAAAUGGAGGGAGUACAAGUGUGAAUUAAAAAAUGAAGACAACUCGGUUAGGGAUACAGAUGCAAAAAGAUUGGCAAACCCACCACUUGAUGUUGAAAAAGAGCAUUGGGAAUUUUUGGUUAGGCAUUGGGGUACACCUAUGG
Molecule: long non-coding RNA, 2095 nt
Organism: Cornus florida
Lineage: Eukaryota; Viridiplantae; Streptophyta; Magnoliopsida; Cornales; Cornaceae
Exons: 3
Source: RefSeq, a predicted model, not a curated record